RNAcentral lists this unclassified non-coding RNA (400 nucleotides) under soil metagenome. RNAcentral's name for it is "partial contains 5.8S ribosomal RNA, internal transcribed spacer 2, and large subunit ribosomal RNA". The stretch from base 1 to 122 matches the Rfam family "5.8S ribosomal RNA", at positions 35 to 154 of the family's 154-position model. The record is from RNAcentral.
GAUGAAGAACGCAGCGAAAUGCGAUACUUGGUGUGAAUUGCAGAAUCCCGUGAACCAUCGUGUCUUUGAACGCAAGUUGCGCCUCAAGCCAUUAGGUUGAGGGCACGUCUGCCUGGGCGUCACAUAUCGUUGCCUGAUGCCAGUUUCCUCGUGAUGGGUGACUGUGCAGGGCGAAUGAUGGCUUCCCGUGAGCAUUGUUGCCUCAUGGUUGGUUGAAAAUUGAGUCCUUGGUAGGGAGCGCCGUGAUAGAUGGUGGUUGAGUGACGAACGAGACCCAAUCAUGUGAGACCCCUACCGAAUUUGGCCUUCAUGACCCACAUGCGUCUUUGGAACGCUCAUGACGAGACCUCAGGUCAGGCGGGGCUACCCGCUGAGUUUAAGCAUAUCAAUAAGCGGAGGA